GCUUAUAUUUCAACAACUUAAAAAUUUAGAAAAUUCAAUUGCGUCAUCUGCAGUACCAUCAGGUAAUGUGUUUUGCAUUCUUAUGCCGUUUUAAGAGUGGUAUGUGUGUUAAAACUUAAAGAUAGCAUAUCUUAAUUUACAGAUUACUUUAUUUAUUUAUUUUUUUGUCUCUACAUUAGCACCUCAAGCAAUAAUAUCAGGUAAUCUGCUUAGCAUACUUAUGCAGUUUUAUGGGUUUUAUGUGUAUUUAAACUUAAUCAUUACUGUUUUCAUGCAAUUACAUAAAUGUUUAACAUAUGUUACUUUAUACACUUUUUUUUUUACCUUUACAAUAGCACCAAUGUCAUCAUAUGCAGUAACAUCAGGUAAUGUGUUUUGCAUACUUAUUCAGUUUUAUGAGUGUUAUGUGUA
Non-coding RNA from Hydra vulgaris (swiftwater hydra), 411 nucleotides. Lineage: Eukaryota; Metazoa; Cnidaria; Hydrozoa; Anthoathecata; Hydridae. The record is from RefSeq and is a predicted model, not a curated record.